UCUCUACUGGGCCAUAUUCGUCAUUUUCUUAAUACUAGGCCCAUUUCAAUCCAUUGAAUCUUGAUUGAUGUCGACGGAGAUUGGAAUUUGAGUUUAGAAAGAUCUGAGCAUGCACAUCACAAAAAAUCUGAUAUCAAUGGCGGCAGAAGGAGAAGGUGAAGAGUUUGUAAAUAGAAUCAGUCGGCUAAAGAGUGGGAAGAGCCCCAGAAGAACUUAACAUUCACAUCCACCUCAGUAAACUCGAUCAGAUGGGUUGAAAGUAUCUACAACUUAGAAGUUGUCUUCAACAAGGAGCUCCUCUUUUUACAUGUACAUAUGGGUGAGGUGUUGAUGGUUCAAAUAGCUUCCCUCAUUUCUAAGGCCCUUCCAAAAGUUAUACACCUCUUCCAGUAGGUGCAAUUGUAAAAGCAGAGAAAUUGCCUCUUGCUGAUGAUGGUCGAUUCAGAUUCAGUUGUUGUUUUGCUGAUUUAAAUUGGUACUGGUGGUGAGUAGUUGUUUUGCAUGGCUAUGUGGAGAACGUGCAACGGGAAAUAAAUUGAAUUGAUUUAUUUAUUAUGUAUGUUAAACGAUGAUUAUGUUAUGUUGAUCUAUUUCUGUGCUUAACAAUACAUGAUGGAGAACCACCCACAAGGUGUUUCCUUGUGAAAAUCAAUUUACAUAUGAAUAAAUCAUUCCGCAUUUAUUA
Molecule: long non-coding RNA, 685 nt
Organism: Mangifera indica (mango)
Lineage: Eukaryota; Viridiplantae; Streptophyta; Magnoliopsida; Sapindales; Anacardiaceae
Exons: 2
Source: RefSeq, a predicted model, not a curated record